GUUUUACCAUGGCAUCGAAAAAUAGAUCUGGCCAUGUAGUUCCAUCGGCUCUAAAAUGGAUUGCCACUGCGCGGCUUAGACCGUCACACAAAAAACGACGGCUCCUCUCAGUCUCCUCUCUGGAAAAAUGGCAGCAUGAUCAUGGCCACGAAGAUUAUGGAAGUAAGAGACCAUGAAGUAAGAGAGCAUGGCUCUGUGUGGCCUCUCUGCCGGAAUCAGAUCAUUGACAUAAGAGGCGAGCUAUGGAUAGAGAAAGCCUAUUCGUAAAAAAAGUAAAAUUUGAAUUAGGAUGUCUAGCUGCAAAUACUAAACUUGGAUCACAGCAGAUUCAUACUAUUCACGUGGAGGCAAUAAGAAAUAUAGAGCUCUUAGAUUGGACACAGAAAAUUUUUCUUGGGAUUCUAAAUGCAGUGGCAGAAAAAACUCAUAUUAACGAUAUUACAAUCAAACAAUGAAUGAAUACGAACCAAAACUUUGAUGAAAAAUGCCAUUGUUAUCAUUGAUGCAACAUCAUUCCGAGUGAUAUUAAAGUACUUAUGUCUUUCCAUUGGAUCGCCAAAGAGAGAAGUUUGCGGAAGCUGACUGAACUUAAACAUUUACGGAGCCAGUGAAUCGCUGAGCCGAAAGACUGCCUCGCCCAUGAUUUUUGAGCCAUGGUUUUCCCGUUUGGGCCAGAAAGCGAAUGCCGAGGCAGGGACUUGGGAAGUCCUUUUAAGACGAUGGGUUUACGGUGGAUAUCCCCCCCUUUUGUCUGAAAAAAGGCACGCAACGGGAAGAUGAGGACAAAAGGAUAGACUUGCGCCGAGCACGAAGAAGCUGACUAAAGGGAUGGAAGGCUGUCCUGGAGUCGAUUCUUGAGGGUCUGGCCAACUCACUGGAAGGAAUCGAUUGGGAGUCUGCCCAGUGGAUUGGGGCCUGGUCGGAGCGAUGCUCGUAACUUACAGCAACAGCUCAGGGAGAGCAGGAUAUUAGGGGUCCCUGAAAGUCCACGGAAAGUCACGAAACCCCUUGCUGAUUCGGGACGACAAUCUUGAAGAGGAGGGCAGUGUUACGCGCCCGAGCUGUUACGGCCCUGCCGUUAUCCGGAUUCCGUAGCCAAGAAGAAUGUUUAUAAACAACGAUAGUCAGCUGAGUUGGAAGAUAGUUGUCAAGCUAUACGGACGCAUUUUAUGUACGAGCCAUUAUUAAUCCGUUGUGUUAUUAUUCUGAGUUAUUAUUUGUGUUCUGUGUUGCUUAUUAAAGUUCUCUAAAAGUA
RNAcentral lists this long non-coding RNA (1255 nucleotides) under Camponotus floridanus (Florida carpenter ant). RNAcentral's name for it is "uncharacterized LOC105255872, transcript variant X2". The record is from RNAcentral. Lineage: Eukaryota; Metazoa; Arthropoda; Insecta; Hymenoptera; Formicidae.